UACGUAGGGUGCAAGCGUUGUCCGGAAUUAUUGGGCGUAAAGAGCUCGUAGGCGGCUUGUCGCGUCGGCUGUGAAAACCUCGGGGCUCAACUCCGGGCUUGCAGCCGAUACGGGCUGGCUAGAAUUCGGUAGGGGAGACUGGAAUUCCUGGUGUAGCGGUGAAAUGCGCAGAUAUCAGGAGGAACACCGGUGGCGAAGGCGGGUCUCUGGGCCGAUAUUGACGCUGAGGAGCGAAAGCGUGGGGAGCGAACAGG
This 254-nucleotide ribosomal RNA is filed under the name uncultured bacterium. RNAcentral describes it as "partial 16S ribosomal RNA". It matches the Rfam family "Bacterial small subunit ribosomal RNA", at positions 524 to 776 of the family's 1533-position model. The record is from RNAcentral.